CGACGAGUUUGAUCCUGGCUCAGAACGAACGCUGGCGGCGCGCCUAACACAUGCAAGUCGAACGAGAAUCCGGGGCAACCCGGUAGUAAAGUGGCAAACGGGUGAGGAAUACAUGGGUAACCUACCCUUGAGAAGGGAAUAACCCGCCGAAAGGUGAGCUAAUACCCUAUACGCUAUCUUUUUUUCGAAAAGGAUAGGAAAGCCGGGUCGAGGACCUGGUACUCAAGGAGGGGCUCAUGUCCUAUCAGCUUGUUGGUGGGGUAACGGCCUACCAAGGCUACGACGGGUAGCUGGUCUGAGAGGAUGAUCAGCCACACUGGCACUGAGAUACGGGCCAGACUCCUACGGGAGGCAGCAGUGAGGAAUAUUGCGCAAUGGGCGAAAGCCUGACGCAGCGACGCCGCGUGGGGGAUGAAGGUUUUCGGAUUGUAAACCCUUUCAUGAGGAAAGAUAAAGUGGGUAACCACUUAGACGGUACCUCAAGAAGAAGCCACGGCUAACUUCGUG
This 507-nucleotide ribosomal RNA is filed under the name uncultured bacterium. RNAcentral describes it as "bacterial SSU rRNA". It matches the Rfam family "Bacterial small subunit ribosomal RNA", at positions 1 to 507 of the family's 1533-position model. The record is from RNAcentral.